RNAcentral lists this ribosomal RNA (506 nucleotides) under uncultured bacterium. Its description in RNAcentral is "partial 16S ribosomal RNA". It matches the Rfam family "Bacterial small subunit ribosomal RNA", at positions 29 to 523 of the family's 1533-position model. The record is from RNAcentral.
AGUGAACGCCGGCGGCAGGCCUAACACAUGCAAGUCGAACGGCAGCACAGGAGAGCUUGCUCUCUGGGUGGCGAGUGGCGGACGGGUGAGGAUAGCGUCGGAAUCUGCCUAUUUGUGGGGGAUAACCUCGGGAAACCGGGACUAAUACCGCGUACGACCUACGGGUGAAAGCGGAGGACCUUCGGGCUUCGCGCAGAUAGAUGAGCCGACGUCGGAUUAGCUAGUUGGCGGGGUAAUGGCCCACCAAGGCGACGAUCCGUAGCUGGUCUGAGAGGAUGAUAGGCCACACUGGAACUGAGACACGGUCCAGACUCCUACGGGAGGAAGCAGUGGGGAAUAUUGGACAAUGGGCGCAAGCCUGAUCCAGCCAUGCCGCGUGGGUGAAGAAGGCCUUCGGGUUGUAAAGCCCUUUUGUUGGGAAAGAAGAGCAGCCGGUUAAUACCCGGUUGUCAUGACGGUACCCAAAGAAUAAGCACCGGCUAACUUCGUGCCAGCCGCCGCGGUAA